This 253-nucleotide ribosomal RNA is filed under the name uncultured bacterium. RNAcentral describes it as "partial 16S ribosomal RNA". It matches the Rfam family "Bacterial small subunit ribosomal RNA", at positions 524 to 776 of the family's 1533-position model. The record is from RNAcentral.
UACGGGGGGGGCAAGCGUUGUUCGGAAUUACUGGGCGUAAAGGGCUCGUAGGCGGCCAACUAAGUCGGAUGUGAAAUCCCCAGGCUCAACCUGGGAACUGCAUCCGAUACUGGAUGGCUUGAAUCCGGGAGAGGGAUGCAGAAUUCCAGGUGUAGCGGUGAAAUGCGUAGAUAUCUGGAGGAAUACCAAUGGCGAAGGCAGCUCGCUGGGACGUGACUGACGCUGAGACGCGAAAGCGUGGGGAGCAAACAGG